UGGGGAAUAUUGGACAAUGGGCGAAAGCCUGAUCCAGCCAUGCCGCGUGUGUGAAGAAGGUCUUCGGAUUGUAAAGCACUUUAAGUUGGGAGGAAGGGCAGUAAGCGAAUACCUUGCUGUUUUGACGUUACCGACAGAAUAAGCACCGGCCAACUCUGUGCCAGCAGCCGCGGUAAUACAGAGGGUGCAAGCGUUCAUCGGAAUUACUGGGCGUAAAGCGCGCGUAGGUGGUUCGUUAAGUUGAAUGUGAAAGCCCCGGGCUCAACCUGGGAACUGCAUCCAAAGCUGGCGAGCUAGAGUAGGGCAGAGGGUGGUGGAAUUUCCUGUGUAGCGGUGAAAUGCGUAGAUAUAGGAAGGAACACCAGUGGCGAAGGCGACCACCUGGGCUCAUACUGACACUGAGGUGCGAAAGAGUGGGGGGCAAACAGG
Molecule: ribosomal RNA, 429 nt
Filed under: Pseudomonadota bacterium
Lineage: Bacteria; Pseudomonadati; Pseudomonadota
Description: Proteobacteria bacterium partial 16S ribosomal RNA
Rfam family: Bacterial small subunit ribosomal RNA
Source: RNAcentral